AGUGCAUGUGGUGGAUGCCUUGGCAGUCAGAGGCGAUGAAAGACGUAAUAGCCUGCGAUAAGCUUCGGGGAGGCGGCAAAUAUCCUAUGAUCCGGAGAUUUCUGAAUGGGGAAACCCACCUACUAUAAGGUAGGUAUCAUAAACUGAAUACAUAGGUUUAUGAGGCGAACGAGGGGAAGUGAAACAUCUCAGUACCCUUAGGAAAAGAAAUCAAUUGAGAUUCCCUCAGUAGCGGCGAGCGAACGGGGAAGAGCCCAUUAAGUAAUGUGUGUUUUAGCGGAAUGCUCUGGGAAGUGCGACCGUAGAGGGUGAUAGUCCCGUACACGAAAGGGCACACAUUAUGAUGACGAGUAGGGCGAGGCACGUGAAACCUUGUCUGAAUAUGGGGGGACCAUCCUCCAAGGCUAAAUACUCCUGACUGACCGAUAGUGAACCAGUACCGUGAGGGAAAGGCGAAAAGAACCCCUGUGAGGGGAGUGAAAUAGAUCCUGAAACCGCAUGCAUACAAGCAGUGGGAGCCGACUUGUUCGGUGACUGCGUACCUUUUGUAUAAUGGGUCAGCGACUUAUAUUCAGUAGCGAGGUUAACCGCAUAGGGGAGCCGUAGAGAAAUCGAGUCUUAAUAGGGCGUAUAGUUGCUGGGUAUAGACCCGAAACCGGGUGAUCUAUCCAUGAGCAGGUUGAAGGUUGGGUAACACUAACUGGAGGACCGAACCCACUGUCGUUGAAAAGCCAGGGGAUGACUUGUGGAUAGGGGUGAAAGGCUAAUCAAACUCGGUGAUAGCUGGUUCUCCCCGAAAGCUAUUUAGGUAGCGCCUCGGACGAAUACCAUAGGGGGUAGAGCACUGUUUCGGCUAGGGGGUCAUCCCGACUUACCAAACCGAUGCAAACUCCGAAUACCUAUGAGUACUAUCCGGGAGACAGACUGCGGGUGCUAACGUCCGUAGUCAAGAGGAAAACAAUCCAGACCGCCAGCUAAGGCCCCAAAAUCAUAGUUAAGUGGGAAACGAUGUGGGAAGGCAUAGACAGCUAGGAGGUUGGCUUAGAAGCAGCCACCCUUUAAAGAAAGCGUAAUAGCUCACUAGUCGAGUCGGCCUGCGCGGAAGAUGUAACGGGGCUAAAACUAUGUGCCGAAGCUGCGGAUUUGACUUUAAGUCAAGUGGUAGGGGAGCGUUCUGUAAGCCGAUGAAGGUGUAUUGAGAAGUAUGCUGGAGGUAUCAGAAGUGCGAAUGCUGACGUGAGUAACGACAAAACGGGUGAAAAACCCGUUCGCUGAAAGACCAAGGGUUCCAGUCCAACGUUAAUCGGGGCUGGGUGAGUCGACCCCUAAGGCGAGGCCGAAAGGCGUAGUCGAUGGGAAAUUGGUUAAUAUUCCAAUACUUCUGUUUAAUGCGAUGAGAGGACGGAGAAGGUUAAGUCAGCCUGGCGUUGGUUGUCCAGGUGGAAGGAAGUAGGCAUGCAUCUUAGGCAAAUCCGGGGUGCUCUAUGCUGAGAUCUGAUAGCAAGCUAGUUUACUAGCGAAGUGGCUGAUACCAAGCUUCCAGGAAAAGUCUCUAAGCUUCAGUUAAACAGGAAUCGUACCCUAAACCGACACAGGUGGUCAGGUCGAGUAGACCAAAGCGCUUGAGAGAACUCUGCUGAAGGAACUAGGCAAAAUGGUACCGUAACUUCGGGAGAAGGUACGCUGUUGUUGGUGAUAGGACUUGCUCCUUGAGCUGAUGACAGCCACAGAAACCAGGCCGCUGCAACUGUUUAUUAAAAACAUAGCACUCUGCAAACACGAAAGUGGACGUAUAGGGUGUGAUGCCUGCCCGGUGCUGGAAGGUUAAUUGAUGUGGUUAGCGCAAGCGAAGCUAUUGAUCGAAGCCCCAGUAAACGGCGGCCGUAACUAUAACGGUCCUAAGGUAGCGAAAUUCCUUGUCGGGUAAGUUCCGACCUGCACGAAUGGCAUAAUGAUGGCGGCGCUGU
RNAcentral lists this ribosomal RNA (1967 nucleotides) under Acinetobacter gerneri. RNAcentral describes it as "bacterial LSU rRNA". It matches the Rfam family "Bacterial large subunit ribosomal RNA", at positions 14 to 2019 of the family's 2925-position model. The record is from RNAcentral. Lineage: Bacteria; Pseudomonadati; Pseudomonadota; Gammaproteobacteria; Moraxellales; Moraxellaceae.